GAUGAACGCUGGCGGCGUGCCUAAUACAUGCAAGUCGAGCGAACGGACGAGAAGCUUGCUUCUCUGAUGUUAGCGGCGGACGGGUGAGUAACACGUGGAUAACCUACCUAUAAGACUGGGAUAACUUCGGGAAACCGGAGCUAAUACCGGAUAAUAUUUUGAACCGCAUGGUUCAAAAGUGGAAGACGGUCUUGCUGUCACUUAUAGAUGGAUCCGCGCUGCAUUAGCUAGUUGGUAAGGUAACGGCUUACCAAGGCAACGAUGCAUAGCCGACCUGAGAGGGUGAUCAGCCACACUGGAACUGAGACACGGUCCAGACUCCUACGGGAGGCAGCAGUAGGGAAUCUUCCGCAAUGGGCGAAAGCCUGACGGAGCAACGCCGCGUGAGUGAUGAAGGUCUUCGGAUCGUAAAACUCUGUUAUUAGGGAAGAACAUAUGUGUAAGUAACUGUGCACAUCUUGACGGUACCUAAUCAGAAAGCCACGGCUAACUACGUGCCAGCAGCCGCGGUAAUACGUAGGUGGCAAGCGUUAUCCGGAAUUAUUGGGCGUAAAGCGCGCGUAGGCGGUUUUUUAAGUCUGAUGUGAAAGCCCACGGCUCAACCGUGGAGGGUCAUUGGAAACUGGAAAACUUGAGUGCAGAAGAGGAAAGUGGAAUUCCAUGUGUAGCGGUGAAAUGCGCAGAGAUAUGGAGGAACACCAGUGGCGAAGGCGACUUUCUGGUCUGUAACUGACGCUGAUGUGCGAAAGCGUGGGGAUCAAACAGGAUUAGAUACCCUGGUAGUCCACGCCGUAAACGAUGAGUGCUAAGUGUUAGGGGGUUUCCGCCCCUUAGUGCUGCAGCUAACGCAUUAAGCACUCCGCCUGGGGAGUACGACCGCAAGGUUGAAACUCAAAGGAAUUGACGGGGACCCGCACAAGCGGUGGAGCAUGUGGUUUAAUUCGAAGCAACGCGAAGAACCUUACCAAAUCUUGACAUCCUUUGACAACUCUAGAGAUAGAGCCUUCCCCUUCGGGGGACAAAGUGACAGGUGGUGCAUGGUUGUCGUCAGCUCGUGUCGUGAGAUGUUGGGUUAAGUCCCGCAACGAGCGCAACCCUUAAGCUUAGUUGCCAUCAUUAAGUUGGGCACUCUAAGUUGACUGCCGGUGACAAACCGGAGGAAGGUGGGGAUGACGUCAAAUCAUCAUGCCCCUUAUGAUUUGGGCUACACACGUGCUACAAUGGACAAUACAAAGGGCAGCGAAACCGCGAGGUCAAGCAAAUCCCAUAAAGUUGUUCUCAGUUCGGAUUGUAGUCUGCAACUCGACUACAUGAAGCUGGAAUCGCUAGUAAUCGUAGAUCAGCAUGCUACGGUGAAUACGUUCCCGGGUCU
This 1372-nucleotide ribosomal RNA is filed under the name uncultured bacterium. Its description in RNAcentral is "bacterial SSU rRNA". It matches the Rfam family "Bacterial small subunit ribosomal RNA", at positions 28 to 1381 of the family's 1533-position model. The record is from RNAcentral.